GGUUUCAAUUAGUCAUCAAAAGUUUUGCAAAUUGCUGCUCCUACCUUAACCCAGUAUUUGAUCAAGUAACACAUCACCGUCUUCUCAAAUCAUUGACCAAAAGUAGUCCCAGUAUCCUCGUAGAUCAACUAUAACUCCAACUUGUAGUUUAUUAGGAAGCCUUGUGGGAAGCUGACCGGCAAAAAAUGUUUAAUGGAAAAUUGGUAACACUGAGCUGAACUUUGUUCUUGCUCGAAUUAUAAUUCGAAAAAGCCAGUGAAUAUCGAUUUCUCCAAAACAAUUGCCUGUGGGUCAACUCCUUACAGGGAAACCUUGUGAGCAUUUCCCAAUCCCAUAUUUCAUGUCAUCCCCCUAUCCCCCUUCCUUGACUGUUUGUGUUAUAGUACCCCUGUCCUGUCAAUGACUUCUUGUGUUGAGGUCCCUGCUUUUUCCCAACUUUUUUCCCUUUUCUGAGCUUCUUGUGUUAAGGUUAUAGUUGAUUUUUUCAAACUUUUUCCAAUUUUUUUCUCCUACCUUCUGCAUCUUCUCAUCGACAAACGUUGCCAAACUACCAACCUGAUAGCAGAUUUUUUAUGCCUUACGGGUUGAAAACGCUGUUUCUCUACGAAAUCACUUUGUCUGGUAUGAGUACAGUCUGGAAGAGCUCAAUGAUCAUGAUGAAGACGUCUACCGACAUCAUAAGCAAAUGUUUGUAAGAAGCACCGGGAGUCAGUAUAGCAAACAGCUCACAAUUAAACGCCAACGUUUAAACAACACAUUGGAUGACUGCUAUUGUUGCAUGUUAGAUUUACCGCGUAGCAUGUGCUCGAUGAUUACAAAAGAGGGAAACAUAACUUCGGCAGUCGAAAGUCGGUGAACAUAUUGGAAGGGUCAAAAAAGAAAGAUGGGUCAUAUGCUUUAUGUAUUAAAUUUAAUUGUUUUCUAGUUUUUCUUCUAAAAAAAGUUUCUCAAUAAAAUUUUAUUCGA
Caenorhabditis elegans is the source of this 966-nucleotide long non-coding RNA. Ensembl annotates it as ncRNA. Its record names the gene linc-140. Lineage: Eukaryota; Metazoa; Nematoda; Chromadorea; Rhabditida; Rhabditidae. The record is from Ensembl.